UAUUAGAGAUGGAAGCAAUCUCUAAGAUGAGACUUGAAUCUCUCCCAUGCAUGAUAGAAAUUUUCAUCUGAUUUUUUCUUAAAAUAGAGGAUUUUGCUUCUUAACCU
Capsicum annuum is the source of this 107-nucleotide non-coding RNA. NCBI's taxonomy places the organism in Eukaryota, Viridiplantae, Streptophyta, Magnoliopsida, Solanales, Solanaceae. The record is from Rfam.